Non-coding RNA from Cyanistes caeruleus (blue tit), 4189 nucleotides. The record is from RefSeq and is a predicted model, not a curated record. NCBI's taxonomy places the organism in Eukaryota, Metazoa, Chordata, Aves, Passeriformes, Paridae.
UUCUGGCCCAGCGCCGCGAAGGCAUCCUGCAGCCGGUUAACGAGCGGGAUGAGCCCCUCCAUCCCGCCGCCGCCUCCUCCUCCUCCGCCCGCCGCCGCCGCUGACAGAUUGUCCAGAGAGGCUGUGGAGUGUCCCUCACUGGAGAUAUCCCAGAACCAACUGGACACGAUGCUCUGGGAUAACCGUGCUUGAGCUGGGAGAUCGGACCAGAAGCCCCCUGACCCAUUCUUUGACUCUGUUCCUGCCUGGGGACAAGGCCACCUCGGUGCUGGGACACUUGGGCACGAAGAGCACGGUUCACCCAGGUCUGUGCACUGACCAUGAGACCACCACGGUGCUCCUCUCCCCCAGGAGCCCCAACCCCAGCUGGCCACCCCAUCCUGCUGCUGGGAAGGGCUGUGACAAAGCUCAGGCACAGGCAGGAGUGCUGCCUGUGUGUCAGGCACGUCCCGAGGAGGAGCUGGAUCCAGCAGGGCUGGCAGCAGGUGCAUGGCUCAGGAGCAGGCUGGGAAGCGACAGCAAAGUCCAAGCCAGCAGCGGGUUCAAUUAAAAAUGCACACUGAGGCUGAGCUAAAAGCUCAGGCACACAACAGAGAUGAGAUUUAGCUGCGAUUACUGGCAGCAGUCACAUCAUGAAAAUAUCCAAAACGCAGGCUUUGGAGUCCUGCAGCGAUAAAAGUUAUCCUCUCUAUUAAAGCAGACACUGGCCUCGCUCAGCGUGAAAAACAAAACAAAAGGGAACUGUGAACAUCCUGCAGGCUGAUGGAGACUAAUGAUCUGGAGGAUUAUCAAAACUUCUUGGCCAGAGCUCUCAAUAAGUGUAAAAAAUUACUCCACAAAAGACCGACCUAUAACUCUGGAAACAGUUUUUAAUCGGCAUAAGGAGGAGACGGCUUCUCCUCGCUGCUGCAGUUAGAUCACAGCCUCUGGGAAAAGCCUUGCCAUCAUUUCUGUCUAGUUGGGAACCUGGGAGUUAUUGACAUAAUUAUGCCAAUUAGCAGCAUGAUUAUUUCUUUCCCCGCUCCUGGGCGAGCAAGCAAUGCCAGGAGGCACUGGAGUAGAUGCCUGGCCUUCCUCCAGUUCAUGGGUUUCUAUGGAGGCUGGAAGUUGGGAAGAACAUUAUGAGUAUCAGAGCACUUUGUGCUGCCCCCAUGCAAUAAUUAAGAUCCGUAGAAGAGCAGCCUGGCCACAGGAUUGCAUCUCCACAUGAGACAAAUGAAGAUUGAGAAAGGCACGAUGCCUGGGGAGCAGCAACAUGCACACCUUCAAAUUGAUAACCCGGGGAACUGUGCUUUCAGUGAGGUCUUCAAAUUACAGCUUUGUCUGCUUCCAUGAUUAAAAUAAAAUAAACUAGGAAAACAACUAAGAUUAGGAAAAGUUUUGAGUUAUUCCCCCAAGUCUUGGAAGUUCCCGAACCAAACUUUUUUGUUUGGUGAAGCAGAGUUAAAGCCACUAAGUGCCCACAUUCACCUUGCAACUCUAUCACUUACAAAACUCCACUCUCCCCGCUCCAGGAAAAAAAAAAAAAAAGCCACAAGUACAGAUCCCCCACCUUCUGGAAAAAGCACAAACUAUUUAAUUAUGGGUGCUUGUGUUAUCAUGAGAGAUUUUCCUCAUUUUUCCAACAACUCCAAGAGAGCAGGGAAGGAGAGAGGAGAGGGACCCAAACAUAUCUUUAGGUCUGUUUUUCCUGACUGACUUCUCUAGGCAGCUUGUUCCACCCCCCCAGGCAGAGCCCAGCCUGGCUUUUUGAAUUUACCAAGAUCCAGAGCAGCUAAAUUAAAGCAAACAGGGGUGCUACUGGCAGAGACCAUUGUAAAGCUUCUUGUAACAACUUGGAAAUACAAGACCCAAAUCUGUGUCAGGGGGCCAUGCAAGAAAUUAUUCCUUGGGGGAGCAUUAGGUGCAAUCCCUAGGAGCACAGAGCUGUGCUGCUCACUGCUUAAACACAAUCUGAUUUUACCCUGCUGUGCUCAGUUGUGCCUCACAAUAUCUAUCAUUUUCUUUUGCUGCAUAAGCAAGGAGAGAAAACCUCUGCUAAGCACCUUUCCUGGCACGGCAGGAAUAGUGGGUGCCCUGCUCCCCAAGGUGACAUCCUGACUCCUAAAGCAUGGUCUGAUGUCACAUGUCACCAGCUCCAGCACAGCCUGCCUGGGAUGCCCAGUCACAGCCUCCAGUGCAAUUUCAGAUCAAGGCUACAGACAGAAAGCUUGUCCUGCCACGACUUCCAGAAAAAUAUAUGGCAAAAAUAGCCUGGCUUCAGGGUGCAGCUGAACCCACAAACUCACACACAGACACUUCUCCCAAACCAGGCAGCGUGAUGAUAAAACUGAGGACAUUUGGACCAGGUCCCCAGGCUGCUUCAUAAACACACACCAGUGCAAUUCCCUUCAGGAGAAAUGAGUUAUAUAUAAACCAGAGAGAGACUCGCAGAUGCCUGCGCUGAAGAGCCAGUCACGCUGCCCUGCCCGGGGAGAGCAGAGCACAGCAGAGGCUGCAUCCUCUCCCCUGAGAAAAGGCAGGUUCCUUCAACCUUCCUCACCUCCUUCUCGCUUCAGACACAAACCCAGAGUUUCUGCAGAGCUUUUCAGGCACAGAGCAGGAGCAGGUGUGGGCAAGGAGCCUGUGCAAGAGGGAGCUCCCAGGUUCUGGGCAGCACUUGGCUCUGCAGCGGAGCUGCAUGAAGAUGCCACUCAGCAUUAUGCCUGUGCAUCUGCCAGGACCAGAGCUCAGACCUUGAAGCUGCAAAAGAUGGAAUUCAAGCCCGUGAAAGAAAGCCAGAGUGGCUGCAGCAUUUCUCCAUAUAAAGUGGAUGUGUUUUCUGCCUUCCCCCCACAGCCCAGGGCACUGCUGACUCACUGAUGGCAGGACAACCCAGUCCCUGUCCCAUCUCUCCUCUCUCCUGCCCUAUGACCUCCAGCUGCAUUUUUCAGCCGGGUGUAUCCAAUUGCAGGGUAGAGAAAGGGCACCGUGCUGCAUUGCAGCCUGCAGAGAUGUUUCCCUGCAGCCCUGAGCACCCCAGGAAAGAGCUGCACUCCCUCCCUGCAGCCUGGCAGCAUGCCUGCUUCCUUGGCCACAAAGCCAAGGGCUUCUCCAAGGGAAGAUUUCAUGGACAAAACACUUGCCACGUGCUUCCAGCCUCUGGGAGUGGCUGUUGCAGCCCUUGUUGUGCUGGACCAUGCCAUGCAGCAUCCCCAGGCAGUGGGGCCAAGGCUUUGCCCAGCUCAAGGGAAUCAGCCCAGGGCUCAAUCCCUGCAGCUUUUGUUGCUGAAAAUCUCUCCCAGCUGCUUGCUGUACUUUGAGCUGAUGACAGUAUGUCCCUCAUCCACCUCCACCCUGUUCCCGAGAGGGAACUGGAGUGUCAUUCCCUUUUCCCUUCUGCAGAACCAGGACUUGGGCUGUGACACCAUAUGGGGUGUACUUGUGGCACCCCAUCAGUGCCUGCCCACAGCCACCCUGGGCCAAAAAACCUCUCUGCAUCCUUCCACCCAAACUCAGGAAACUCAGGGCUGACCCACCAACUACCAGGGUCUCAUUCAUUGGAGUGGGAGCAGGACAUGGAUGUGAUGCUCUGAGGACCAGCCCAAACCAUCCCCAGCUCACACCUGAGCCGUGGGAUGAGUUACACACCAGGCUCUUUUUGUGCUGGGAAAGGCAGAAAGGAAAAAGUCAACAUCUCCGUGCCAGUGGAGGUUGCUAAGUGACGGCAGAGCUUGUUUCCAUCCCGCCACUGACAGCGUGCCUACGCUGCAAGGGAAGGAAGUGAGGAGUAAGGGAUGUAAACAUGAGUACAUUGCCAAAACACUCGACAUAUACAUUAGCUUCAUGUUUUGGCUGCCAGCAGAGAAAUAUUUACUAUGUGUCAAUUACUCCAGCCUUGGAGCGUUUUACCUGCAGAGGAUUUGCAGCACUCGGUGAAUUUGCCAGUUUUCCAGCUGAAAUGAAUUUUCAGACCAAAGUUGUCAAGCUAUCAGUAGCUGCAAGAACAGCUGCAAUGAACUGAGAUUUCAUCCUUACAUUGUCUCUAAUAGAUGGCUUUUGUUUUUCCAUCAGGAUGUGGCGUUAUGCAGCAUUUUGGAAGCACAACAGAAAGGCAGGAGUGGACGGGGGGGGAUAAAGGCAGCCUUUGUAUGAGCUCCUGGGGAAGAAAGGAGAUGGUUUUGGUAAAAUAAAGGGCAUGCACACACAA